This 267-nucleotide transfer-messenger RNA is filed under the name Sinimarinibacterium flocculans. It matches the Rfam family "transfer-messenger RNA", at positions 90 to 374 of the family's 374-position model. From Rfam's summary of the family: Bacterial tmRNA, also known as 10Sa RNA or SsrA, is named for its dual tRNA and mRNA-like properties. Its role is to liberate the mRNA from a stalled ribosome. To accomplish this part of the tmRNA is used as a reading frame that ends in a translation stop signal. Lineage: Bacteria; Pseudomonadati; Pseudomonadota; Gammaproteobacteria; Nevskiales; Nevskiaceae. The record is from RNAcentral.
GUUGCGAACGACUCCAACUACGCCCUCGCCGCCUAAAUCCGGCGAGCGUUUGCCCCACUGGUUCCGAUGCCGGUGGAUGCGAACGUCGACUCUCAUCGGAUCGCGACGGAGCCCGCCCUUGGCCGAGUUGCUAAAACCCUAAGGGGCUAAGCGGUGGCGAUCCGUGCCGGUCCGGGAGCCACCGACGAAAAUCAAAGAGCGGCUAAGCAUGUAGAGCCGAGGGCUACGAAUCGGCGGACGCGGGUUCAAUUCCCGCCAGCUCCACCA